GCCGAAGUGGCGGAAUUGGUAGACGCGCUGGUCUCAAACACCAGUGAAUGUAUGUUCGUGCCGGUUCGAUUCCGGCCUUCGGUACCA
RNAcentral lists this transfer RNA (87 nucleotides) under Candidatus Marinamargulisbacteria bacterium. Its description in RNAcentral is "tRNA-Leu". It matches the Rfam family "tRNA". From Rfam's summary of the family: Transfer RNA (tRNA) molecules are approximately 80 nucleotides in length. The record is from RNAcentral. Lineage: Bacteria; Bacillati; Candidatus Margulisiibacteriota; Candidatus Marinamargulisbacteria.